GACGAACGCUGGCGGCGUGCUUAACACAUGCAAGUCGAACGGUAAGGCCCCAGCUUGCUGGGGUACACGAGUGGCGAACGGGUGAGUAACACGUGGGUGACCUGCCCUGCACUUCGGGAUAAGCCUGGGAAACUGGGUCUAAUACCGGAUAGGCCCAUGGUGUGGAUACUGUGGUGGAAAGUUUUGUCGGUGUGGGAUGGGCCCGCGGCCUAUCAGCUUGUUGGUGGGGUAAUGGCCUACCAAGGCGGCGACGGGUAGCCGGCCUGAGAGGGUGGACGGCCACAUUGGGACUGAGACACGGCCCAGACUCCUACGGGAGGCAGCAGUGGGGAAUAUUGCACAAUGGGCGGAAGCCUGAUGCAGCGACGCCGCGUGGGGGAUGACGGCCUUCGGGUUGUAAACUCCUUUCACCAUCGACGAAGGGUUUCUGACGGUAGAUGGAGAAGAAGCACCGGCUAACUACGUG
This 466-nucleotide ribosomal RNA is filed under the name uncultured bacterium. Its description in RNAcentral is "partial 16S ribosomal RNA". It matches the Rfam family "Bacterial small subunit ribosomal RNA", at positions 28 to 507 of the family's 1533-position model. The record is from RNAcentral.